AGGAAUUAUGGGUUUCGUUGUCAGUGUCUGAGGGAGGAGCAUGCCUAUUGCCUUUUGCCGCUUUUGUCCUGUCACGUCCUCUUUCCUAACGUUUCGAUUCUUGCCAGGGGCGUUUUUGCAAGUCAAGCUCCUCUGACUUGUGGGCCCGUGUGCGUGGCAGCUCCUCAAGCGUCCUGCCAGCAAGCAACUCAUGCGAUGCGACAAGCUCACAAGUCGACAUGGCUCACAAGUCACAAGAUGGGAGUGCCUUUCACCUGCCAAGUGGGACUACACGGCUGUGCCCCACCGGCUAGUUCAAACCCA
Molecule: long non-coding RNA, 303 nt
Filed under: Setaria viridis
Lineage: Eukaryota; Viridiplantae; Streptophyta; Magnoliopsida; Poales; Poaceae
Description: long non-coding RNA (SVIR_LNC008564)
Source: RNAcentral